GACGAACGCUGGCGGCGUGCCUAAUACAUGCAAGUCGAGCGGAGUCGAUGAGAAGCUUGCUUCUUUGAGACUUAGCGGCGGACGGGUGAGUAACACGUAGGCAACCUGCCCAUAAGACUGGGAUAACUACCGGAAACGGUAGCUAAUACCGGAUAGGUUCUUCUCUCGCAUGAGAGAAGAAAGAAAGACGGAGCAAUCUGUCACUUAUGGAUGGGCCUGCGGCGCAUUAGCUAGUUGGUGGGGUAAAGGCCUACCAAGGCGACGAUGCGUAGCCGACCUGAGAGGGUGAUCGGCCACACUGGGACUGAGACACGGCCCAGACUCCUACGGGAGGCAGCAGUAGGGAAUCUUCCGCAAUGGACGAAAGUCUGACGGAGCAACGCCGCGUGAGUGAUGAAGGUUUUCGGAUCGUAAAGCUCUGUUGCCAGGGAAGAACGUCCUUGAGAGUAACUGCUCAAGGAGUGACGGUACCUGAGAAGAAAGCCCCGGCUAACUACGUGCCAGCCGCCGCUGUAAUAC
RNAcentral lists this ribosomal RNA (519 nucleotides) under uncultured bacterium. RNAcentral's name for it is "bacterial SSU rRNA". It matches the Rfam family "Bacterial small subunit ribosomal RNA", at positions 28 to 526 of the family's 1533-position model. The record is from RNAcentral.